This is a transfer RNA of 85 nucleotides. It matches the Rfam family "tRNA". From Rfam's summary of the family: Transfer RNA (tRNA) molecules are approximately 80 nucleotides in length. The record is from Rfam.
AGGAAGGUUCUAUUUGUUGGCAUGAUAGGUUGAGCUGUAAACUCAGUAGCUAAGGCUGUCGAAGGUUCGAUUCCUUUUCUUCCUA